Molecule: ribosomal RNA, 78 nt
Filed under: Teratosphaeria toledana
Lineage: Eukaryota; Fungi; Ascomycota; Dothideomycetes; Mycosphaerellales; Teratosphaeriaceae
Description: partial 28S ribosomal RNA
Rfam family: Eukaryotic large subunit ribosomal RNA
Source: RNAcentral
GUUGACCUCGGAUCAGGUAGGGAUACCCGCUGAACUUAAGCAUAUCAAUAAGCGGAGGAAAAGAAACCAACAGGGAUU